UGCUGGACUUUCUGGAGUGGCGAAGUUUUUAAAAAUCAUAAUAGUGCUCAUAAGAAAGAAAACCUGGAUCCCUAAUGCAAAAAUUGCAAUGAUUGGGAGAAACAUCAUCAAAAAUAUAAGAAUGCCCGCAGAAUGUACCAAAUGAUGCAAAUGCAACACAAACUAUAUCCGAAAUCGUUAUCACCGCUGAUCUCCAGAAAGUAAGUGAUAAGUAUAAUUCGUUCGUUUUUAAUUUUAUUUAAUUCUCGUUUUAAAUUCGCCGUUUUUAAUUCUCGUUUUUAGGUAAGGAAAUAAUUUUUAUGCCAAGACUUGUGGCAUACAACGAAAGUGUCGUUUCCGCUGGCAAAUUAGGCAAAAUGUCCCCAUACGCCGUUUUGUGACAUGAUGCUAUGCAAGGGAGGUCAAAAGAAAAUAUCAUUAGCAGCUUUUAUCAAUACUUCCUAUCCAUGAGAGAUACUAAUUAAUAGGACAGAAACUUCUAUAGAAAAAGUAAUUCUGAGAUAUUUUGAACCUAUGGCAGCGGACUCGUUCCAUCGUCAAAUUGAAGUCAGCUUAAAGAGGCGUGGGAAAAUUAUAUGAUUUUUCAGAUUUCGUAGAAGCGGUAGGAGCUGCAUCCAAAUUAACAAAAGUUAUAGAAAUGAAUUUGGAUUGUUUCUAUAAAUGGGAAGAUCAAUCAUCACAGUAUAAACUUAAGAAAACUACUCCUAGACCAUACUUAAGUAACAUGGUAGAGGCAAUAUUUGAGAGAAGAAAAAGAACUAUGUCAUAUAAAAAUUCAUUUGAUGAUGAAGUCAUUGAACUUAAUUUCUUAAAUUCCAAGUCUCAAAAACAGGGAAUUUAUAUGCCCAAAAAAGAAAUUAGUCCUAAAGGAAUACCAAAUACUAAGAAAAUUGAAAUUCUUCCAACAUCCAGAAUGCCAUUUUGGGUAAGUUUACCUACAACGAACGAUAGAGUACAGUCCAGUGAUGAUAAAUGAAGCUUUCGAGCUUAACCCAUAAAAUUUAAAAUGUUUUCGAAUCCUUAAAGUCCCAUGUUGGAGAAUUUCACUCGUGUAUAAAUUAAUAACGUGUUUAAUGUUAAUCGGUUUUUCCGAUCUGUAUCCUAUGUAAAUGUUGAG
This is a long non-coding RNA of Anthonomus grandis grandis, 1117 nucleotides long. RefSeq lists it as uncharacterized. The record is from RefSeq and is a predicted model, not a curated record. The transcript is spliced from 4 exons. Lineage: Eukaryota; Metazoa; Arthropoda; Insecta; Coleoptera; Curculionidae.